UAAGGUGCAUCUAGUGCUGUUAGUGAAGCAGCUUAUAAUCUACUGCCCUAAAUGCCCCUUCUCGC
Molecule: microRNA precursor, 65 nt
Filed under: Rattus norvegicus (Norway rat)
Lineage: Eukaryota; Metazoa; Chordata; Mammalia; Rodentia; Muridae
Description: Rno-Mir-17-P2c_pre stem-loop
Rfam family: mir-17 microRNA precursor family
About the family: This family represents the microRNA (miRNA) precursor mir-17, family, which includes mir-20, mir-91, and mir-103. miRNAs are transcribed as ~70nt precursors (modelled here) and subsequently processed by the Dicer enzyme to give a ~22nt product. In this case the mature sequence comes from the 3' arm of the precursor. The extents of the hairpin precursors are not generally known and are estimated based on hairpin prediction.
Source: RNAcentral